CACCAGAGCUUCAAUUACGCCAGCCACGUUUAAUAUUCACAAUUAAGUCUGCGUCAACACCACAACUAUAAAUUCAUCUCUUACACAUGCUCUUUCCCUCACUCCCCAGUUCCCACUACUCUCCGAUCUCUUCCCUCAAGGUAAGCUAUUUUUUUAUUUUAAAUAACAUCUUUUCCUAUUCAAUUAUCAAUCGAUAUAUCUAAUUAUAGUGUAUUUUGUUGAAUUAAAAUCGAUCCAUCGAUCAAUUAAUCUGAUGUAGAAAACUGUCACGAUCAUAAUUUCCAAAUAUUGGCAACAAGAAGGAAUUUAUGAUCGUGACAGUUUUCUUGGUAUCAGAGCCAUUUCUAGGCGUUCAUCAAUAUAACUUUCCAGGUUACUUUAAACAUAAUUAAUCAAGUCACAUGCCAUUAUAUACUAAUCCACUUCAAUAUUAAGAAUACUUUUAGUACAUGACUAUUUCAACUUGACAAUCAAACAAACGGACAAAUCCAAAAGAAAACAUAUAUGCUAAAAAGAAACUCUUUACAUAAAUCUGCCAAACAAUAACAUUCAUCUUUCAAAAUUCACACAUCUACAAAUAAUUACUCAAAUCUCAUAAAUUUUUAAUACAACCUUUUAAUAUGAACAUAUUACUUGGAAUAAAAAUAUGGAAUCGUUUCGAUAUAUAAAAAAAAUAAUUAAACAAUUGUUUUACUCCAUCCGACCAGAUUUCAGAAAGAAAUCCCAAAACAAUCUACGUCAGACUUCCUGAGCAUUUUUCACCAUAUUAGCCUCAUAAUUUAAAGUAUUUCUAAACAUAGAAAUUAUAGUUCAUAAUGUCUAUUUUCUAAAACAAGUAAAUUCAUCAAGAUAUGUUGAGUAACGAGUCUUCUAUGAUUUUUCUAUGAUAUCCACGCAAACAGAAAGGUAGCAGUAAAAUUAUACUGGAUAUCUGAAUAUAACUACGUUGAAUAAAUUAUUCAGAAUUAAUUACCUAACAGUAAAUUCCGAAAUUUAUAUAUGGUGUUAUAUCUUGAGUAUUCUAACUACCAUAAAAUUUUCAAUAAAUAUUAUUAAGUCUAGAAGAAUCAAAACCUUGCGAUACUAAAACGGUACAGAAACCAAAAACUGCAACGGUUAUCAUACUUGCAAGUCGUUUUCCACCAAAAUAAAAUAACUUUCGUAAAUUGGUCUUAACUAAUCGAAUGAAGACAUUCCAAUAUAGUGUUCAGGGUUUUUGGAAUCAAAUUAAAAGCUUUUCAAACGAAUUUUCUAUGAUUUUUCAAAGAUGAGUAAAAAAAUCUGAAAUCACAGAAACAAAAAUAGAAACAAAAUCGUCUACUCACAGUUAUACCCCACGUCUAAAAUCAAAACCAACAGCAAACAUAUCCCAUAUACCCCACCACUAAAGUCAAACUCAUAUAGUUUAAUUAAAUUAAACUAAUUUAACAAAAUAACAUCCACUCACCUGCUGUAAGUACACAUCAUGAAACGCUAUAGUCUCCAAAGAUUUCCACUCCUCCAUCAUCAUCAUAGCAACGGUGGCAUGUUUCCUACUCAAAGCAUCUGCAACUACAUUACCCUUCCCAGGCUGAUACUGAAUCUGAAAAUCAUAAUUGCUAAUGAACUCCAUCCAUCUCUGCUGCCUCAUGUUCAAAUCCUUCUGAGAGAACAAUUACUUUAGGCUCUUGUGGUCGGUAUAAAGAUCAAACUUCUCCCUAUAUAAAUAGUGACGCCAAAUCUUCAAAGCAAACACCACAGCUGCCAAUUCUAAAUCGUGUAUUGGAUAUCUUCGCUCAUGUUGCUUCAACUGUCUAGAAGCAUAAGAGACCACUCUCCCAUCCUGCAUCAAAACACAACCAAGUCAUGUACCACUAGCAUCUGUGAAUACCACAAGCUUGCCUCCUCUAACCGGUAUAACUAACACUGGCGCUGUAGUUAACCUCUGCUUAAGCUCCUGGAAAGCUCUCUCGCAAUCGUCAGUCCACAAGAACUUCACAUUCUUCCUCGUAAGUCUGGUCAAUGGCUCAGCUAUAAGCGAGAACUUCUCAAUGAAACGACGGUAAUAUCCAGCUAAUCCCAAAAAGCUUCGAAUCUCUGUAGGGUUGGUUGGUUGUUUCCAAUCCCUAACUGCAGUAACCUUCUCAGGGUCAACGGCAAUGCCCUCUCUGGAUAUCACGUGACCUAAGAAAUGCACCUCAUUCUUCCAGAAAUGACAUUUGCUAAACUUAGCAUAUAGUUUGUGAUCUCUCAAUAUCUGCAACACUGUCUUCAAAUGUUUCGCAUGCUCCUGAGCAUCCUUAGAAUACACCAAAAUAUCAUCAAUGAAUACGAUCACAAACUUAUCAAGAUAAGGCCUGAAAAUCCGGUUCAUCAAAUCCAUGAAAAAUGCUGGAGCAUUAGUUAACCCAAAAGGCAUUACUGGAAACUCCUACAAUCCAUAUCGUGUUUUGAAAGCAGUCAGUGGUAUAGUCUUCUCCUCUACACCCAUCUGAUGGUAACCCGUCCUCAAAUCAAACUGAGAAAACACGGCUGCUCCUUUCAACUGAUCAAGCAAAUCAUCUAUUCUCGGCAGUGGAUAUUUGUUCUUGACCGUCACCUUAUUCAACUCACGGUAAUCAAUGCACAUCCUUAAAGUUCCAUCCUUCUUAGAGACAAAGAUAGCUGGAGCUCCCCAUGGAGAAUUGCUUGGACGUAUGAACCUGUGGUUCAUACACACCUCAAAAGGCUCACACAUAUACACCAAAAGAAUAAACUACAUCAAAUAUCACAUACCCUUUCUUAAGGAACUCCUCCAACUGGGUCUUCAUCUUUUCCAACUGCUUAGGCGCCAUCCUGUAUGCAGUCUUAGAAAUAGGUGCCGUUCCUGGCAACAAAUCAAUACGGAACUCCACCUCUCUCUUGGGUGGUAAACCCGGAAUCUCCUCAAACACAUCUAGAUAAUCCUUAACUAUCGCCACAUCACUAAUAUCGAUCGACUGGACAUCCAUAGACAUCAAAAAGCUGGACAUAAUCGAAUCAUCCCUACUAACACAAUUGUGUACCAAUGUGGGUAAACCAGCUGGUGUAUCCACUAUAACUCUCCUUCCAGCACAAUCCAAAAUAACAUGAUAGCGACUCAACCAAUCAAAACCCAAAAUAAACUGAUAGCCCUCAAAAUCUAAAACAACCAGAUCGAUAACAAACUGUCUACCCAUGAAUAUCAGAACAAAGUUCUUACACUGGUAAAACAAACAAGUCGACCCUCCCAUAGGUGUCCGAAGAUAUAAAGGUUGGGGUAAAGGUGUAGUCGCAAUCUGAUACUUAUCUACUAAUUGCUUAGCAAUAAAUGAAUGUGAUACACCAGAAUCAAAUAACACUCGGAAUCUAAAUUGAGAACAAUCAAAAGUACCUUCCAAUCCCUGAACUGCAGGCAAAACAGCAAAGGCUCUCCCUCGGUUCGGCUGAUGUGCUGGCCUUCCCUGGUUGUUGUUCACUGGUCGACGACACUCAGCAGAACGAUGUCCUGGUCCUCCACAGUUCCAACAGCUACCCCUGAUCGGCCCUGCUAAUGCUCCUGGCGCUGGUAACUGUAAAGGUGCUGGCCUAUAAGGCAAACCUGGGGCAGGUUGCCCUGGUGCUGGUGGUGGUGGUGGCGCUCUUGCUCUCGCUCGGUUGUCACCACGCCCAUACCCACCACGGUGUCUGAAACCCUGGUUAUCUCCCGGUGGCCUGUUGUAACCCUGGUUCCUCUCUGGGUUGUUGUCAUAACGUCGACCCCUGAAGUUAGGAUCAUAAGGCUUGUGUCUAUUCCUGUCUCUGAAGUUAUCACCUGUCUUUUUGCUCUUCUCGGUUCUAAACUCCUGUUCCUUCUCCUCAUACUUCAUUGCGAGGUUCAGAACUCUAUCAAAUGGCUCGUGCUCAAAUGGAAUCAGUUGCUUUGAUACCAAGAAAACUGUCACGACCCUAAUAUCCAUAAAUUGGCAAAAAGAGAGAAUUUACGAAAUUACCCUCAAUAAGCCAAUAAAAGGAAAAAGGAUUGGGACAGUGAUCUAAAUAAACAUUUGCACAAGGUAAAAAUCCAUUAAAGACAAAUACUUCCAUAGACAAAUUGAACUCCAAUAAGUUUCCAUAAAUAAUCUGAAAAACUCCAAAUACUGAAUUACACAACUCCAAUAAUAAAAUUCAACAGUUUCUACUGAGGUAUUGUCUUCCCCAUCAAUAAUAAUCCAAUAAAUGAAAUAAUGAACUUGAGUAAUCAACUGACAACGAAUCAAAGAACUAAACCUACUGUGAAAGAUAACUCCUGCAAAUCUCAAACUCCCUCCCGAACAACUGGAUCUACACGAGCCUCCGGGUGUUGCUCCUGAGCGUACUCAACCGGCUCCUCUCUUCCGCCUACGCUCCAUAAGGAUACGUACCCACGUGCAAAACAAGCAACAUGGGUCAGCAAAUUAUGCUGGUAUGAGUGGACAAGGUUAGGGAACUCCAUUCCCAAAAACAAUAAAAUAACAGACUCCGCGGUCUUUCUAUAUUUAUCUCGUUUACUAAAUAAAUAUCAUAUAUUAUAGUGAUACAUUACCUGAGCUGCACCUCCUAUUAGGAUAGGUCGAGCCCUGCAAGAAAUGUUAAUUGACCUAUCCUCCUGCAAAACUGUGUUAGUACAACAAGAUAUAAUUCAUGGCAUCUCAAGUCUCGACACUAUAUCUCAAUCACUGCAAAUCAAUCAUUACACUCAAACAACACUUCACAACCUAUACCCAAUCACUAGUACACCUCCCACAGGAUGCACUCCACACAUUUGCCAUACCCACACUGCACCAGUGUGCCUUGACUAUGGUUAAGACCCUCUACGCGGAAACCAAAACCCAAGUGGGUGCUCACCUGCAAGCUUUGGCUAGCCUCGACGUAUGCCUAACUCAUGGCCUCUACUAGCUCCCUUGAGCUUUCUAAUGUGGCGCCCAGACCAACCCCGAAGGCUAUGAAGGUCUGUAGGGUCAGUUCCGCAGGCUAAGCCGUCUAGGAAAUACCCAACAAAAAUAUAUUCCAAAUGUCAACCCGCAGGCUAAGCCAUCUAGGGUGAUAUCUAAUUUCUUAAUCCUAAUUCCACAAGUGCGACAAAUGUACUAAUGGUUGGGCGACUACCAAACAUCCAAACUAUCAAUCAAUCAAGUAACUCUCGACAAUAAAAUUUCACAUCAACUUCACAUCAAAUUCAUUUGCAUUCCUUCCGUAUUUUCUACAUUAAUCAAAUACCGUCCAUGGUAUAUAUAGCCAUUCCAAGGCAUUCAACAAUAAAUUCCUCGAAUUUAAUAUUAACACAUUUUAUAUUUCUUUCAAAAUAAAAAUACUAUCUACUAUACAGUCAGAAACAAAAUACAUUCAGCAAAUAAUAUUUACUGUACCCAUAAAACUAUAUAACUUUCUUUAACCCCAGUUUCAUUAAAAUUAUAUUUUUCGGUGUAUAUAUUUCUAGUCCACAUAUAUAUGAAUACUAAUCCAAAAGCGAUCUCAAAAACUCGACAAUUUGGAUACAUGUACAGUACUACCAUUUACCUUCUAUUAUAAUUUCCAUGUUAUCAACAGUGUACUCAAACCAUACAAAUCAAAUAAAUAAUAAUAAAAUUCUAAUUAACCCCACCUAACCAGCAGAUGCAUUCAAAACCAUUUCUUCCUACUAACCAAACUAUCACAGCACUUAUAAGCUAUAUAUAUAGAUUACUCAAUCAACCAUUACUUUCACCAAACAUAACUAUAUAUGCAUAUAAAUAUAUAUAGACCCACUCACAGUUAUACCCACGUCUAAAAUCCAAAAACCAACAGCAAACAUAUCCAUGUUAUCAACAGUGUAUACAUUAAAAUAAGAAUAUCAUCUACUUAAAAGUAUAUCCACUCACCUGCUACACUGUUGAUCUUCUUCUUCCUCUUUUAUUAUUAUUUUUUUUUUUCUGCUCUGCAACACCGUCACAAUUUGCCGACACCAACACUGCUUCUAAACUCAGCAGCACCGCCACUCUCUCUCUCUCUCUCUCUCUCUCUCUCUCUCUCUCUCUCUCUCUCUCUCUCUCUCUCUCUCUCUCGUUGUUGAUCGCAAAACUUUCUCUACUUCGAUCACAGCGCCGCUUUCUCUCUCUCUUAGUGUGCGAACAAAACCCUCGAUAGUUGCUACCCAUCUCUAUAUAAUAGUGAGUAAGUAUUGGUGUUAGUCCCACAUUGCUAAGGAAGUGGUUGUAUUGGUAGUAUAUAGAGCUUAACCAUACUCUAACUAAUGUCAAGGCCUUUUGGGGUAAACCACAUGGGUGGGCCCUGAUCCAAAACCCUCUACUGCUGGAUAUCCGCAGUGACUAAAGGGGGACAAUAUUGACAUUAGCGAGCGGUAUGGUGCUCGACGCACCGGGAUGAGCGAGGACGAAAUCCUGGGGCGUUACAGUUGGUAUCAGAGCCGACGACGGGUCGCCUGUUGCAGGUGGGAAGUACGUUGGAAAGGCCUAGGGAGCGCCAGGUACUUGUCUCACUUGGCAGGGAACGUCGGAGAUUUUGGGACUGUACUGAGUGUACUGCAGAGCCGAGGACGGCUCUAUUUCUAAGGUGGUGAGAUUGUAACACCCAUGAGUUGGUGUUAGUCCCACAUUGCUAAGGAAGUGGUUGUAUUGGUAGUAUAUAGAGCUUAACCAUACUCUAACUAAUGUCAAGGCCUUUUGGGGUAAACCACAUGGGUGGGCCCUGAUCCAAAACCCUCUACUGCUGGAUAUCCGCAGUGACUAAAGGGGGACAAUAUUGACAUUAGCGAGCGGUAUGGUGCUCGACGCACCGGGAUGAGCGAGGACGAAAUCCUGGGGCGUUACGUUGUUGUUGUUUUGUUGUUAUUGUUUUUUUCUUAUUAGAUUGAAGAAGAUGGGAAGGAGUUGUCCAACAGUGACAAAGGGAUCACAAAAAAAAAAAAACACACGAGAGAAUCACUAAUCCAUAAUUUGUUUUUUUUAAGAGAAAGAGAUUCUUUCAAUCAAUGGAAGCCCCCCUGGUGAGUUAAAUUUUUUUGAGGUCGUAUUUACAGAUAAUUUUUAUUUUGUAAAGUGAUACUAUUGGAUUUUUCGUUGGAUUAUUUCCUUAAUUUUGCAUCAAUUGACUUGCAUCAACACUCAACGAGGAAGAGAAAAAUUGAUGUUCCAUAUCUCUUUAGCCCCAGAAGCUAAGGUAGUAUAUCUGACUUAUUUAUCAAUUUUGUGUUGGAUUUAUAUACGCUUGAUUCUUAUGCUUGAUGAUGGUGAGGAGUUUAAUUAAGUUUUAUGAAACUUUUGAUAUUUUGUCUUGAUUAUAUAGGUGAAAGCAAAGGGUUCCAUAGAUUUACAAGUACAGUUUGGGUGAUUGCUUUUAGUUUGAUGAUGGGUUCAAUUCGUGUUGGCUUUAAGUUUCAACUCUAGGUAAGUGUUAGUAGACCUAUAACCUUAAUUGGCCAAUAACAAUAUUUCAUAACAACAUGAUUUCUACAUAUUUUAAGAUGGAAGAUGGAUUAAUAUUGAAUUAUUUUCUUUUGAUAUUAAUGUUACAUUUGGAUUUUAUUUAAGUUUUUGUUUUUUGUUUGAAUCAGUGUAAUCCAUUACUUAUUUUUAGUCUUUGUGUAAUGAAUAUAUCACCUUUUAAAUAAGAAGGCUUCUACCUCUACGAUGAGUCAAUGAGACGUCCAGGUUCCAUUCUUACGAACGUAUAUCUUUUUUUAACCUAGCUCAACGGGCUGACCUGACCCUCUUUUUUAAGUGCAGUUAGUCAUCAUUCUACGAAACAUCAAAAAAAGUUUUGAUUUUAUUUGCUUCAACUUGCUAAUGUUAAUUUGUAAGUAAAUAUAUUUUGUUUUUCCCAGGACUAUGCAAUAGAGAGACACUUUCGAGGAAAAAAAAUAUAAGCUGGAGAUGGAAAGAAAUUACGUUAUGUGUAAUCCAUUGUUUACAUUUUGAUUUUACUGAAGUUUUUGUUAUUUGUUAUAAAUCGAUAAAAAUUAGUGUAAUAUAUUGCUUACUUUUUGUCUUUUUGUAUCACCUUUUAAUAAGAAGGCUUCUACCUCUACUUGAAUUGAGGCCUCCGAGUUCCAUUCUUAUAAACAUAAAACAUAUAUAUGUUCUGACCUUGACCCUCUUUCUAAAGUUAGUCCUCAUCCUAUGAGGCAUCAAAAGAGGUUUGUGGGUAAAUAUAUAUAUAUAUUUUUUUUGCAGGACUAUGCAAUAGAGAAACACUUUUGAGGGAAAAAAAAAGAUAAGCUGGAGUUGGAAAUAAGUUGCAGAGUGUUCAGAUGUUCUACUAUGCUUCCUUCUAUGUGAGUUCAUGCCAGUCUCAACAGGCUAUAUGACAGAUCGCAGUUCAACAAAUUUCGCAAGGUACAACACACGAGUAAGGGGAGGGAGUAAGACUACAAAUGAUCAGCACCCCGACAAGAAUGAAGUCUGCAGCGGGUUAGGGACUGUGGAAGAGCCACAUAUGAUCAUUACUGACUCAUACAGUUAUACAUUAGGGACUGUAUAAGAGCCACAUGAUCAUUACUGAUCAUAAAGUUAUACAUUAUCAUGUACUCGCUAUUUUUGAGUUUGUUUUAACUUUUUAGGUGAACAUCUAACACAUUGGAAAUGAGAAACAUGUAGUCGAUGUAAGUCAGUUGCAGAUUAUAUGUACUGAUGCAUAUGCAUAAAGAUAGCAUGUGCAAGGCACAUGCCUCAUAGUUCCUGCAGAUUUCUAUAUGGAUUAGAACAUCCCUAGUAGUAGUUUCUAUUUACUUAGCUUUCUAGUUUAGUUAGGAUUAAGUUUAGGCUAUUAUAAAUAGGGGAUUACAAACCUUAUUGAAGAGGUGAGAUUGAAGAUUUGUUUAUGUCUUGAGACAUUAAAUUCGUUUUUGUG
Molecule: long non-coding RNA, 8841 nt
Filed under: Aquilegia coerulea
Lineage: Eukaryota; Viridiplantae; Streptophyta; Magnoliopsida; Ranunculales; Ranunculaceae
Description: long non-coding RNA (ACOE_LNC002297)
Source: RNAcentral